GCAAAACGCUGCGCAGAUACCCGGGUGUGUCGAAGGACGGCAGUCAGAGCGUGCUUGGUGUUCGUCAGCGAGUGUCAGUGGCAGGACCUACCAGCGGUGACAUCAAGCUCGGAUGCAGUGGACCACGAAGCAGCAGGGAAUUACCAGCCUCCUCCAGCUGAGCGCGGACGGCACUACCCCGCCACCGAGAGACACUCGGAAGAACAGGCGCUGGAAGAGGCGCUAGCGCCGCGACGGAGGGAGGCUGAACUAACGACGGGGUGGUUUGCGUGUGCGCGUGCGGGCCAUUGACGUUUUUCGUCUUUUCAACCCCUUCGCCGUCGUCUUUGGGUCAGCUGUUGCAAACUGUAACAGUUGCUCUGAGUUGGAGACUCACACCCAGACCUGGGCUUCUCGGGGGAAGUUAAGGCAUGGCGAAUUCCUUCAGAUCUCUCGAUUAAGUGUCCCCUCUCCAGCGUCUUGAAGCGGAGUUAAAAGUUGUACUGCUGUAUAGGGGUUGCAACAGCCCCUCCGACUCGUACUUGUAAGAUUGAACGUUUAAACGAGUGCCAGCAUGACGACCAAGUACCAGUCAAAUGUGGACAUGACGAGUAAGGAGGAUCUGCUUUCGGAGAGAGGACUGAAGCGCCGGUCCAAGUUUUAUGUGUUCACCCUUACCACUCUGAGCACCCUUGGGGGAUUUCUAUUUGGAUAUGAUACUGGUGUGGUUUCUGGAGCUAUGCUCCUCAUCAACAAAGACUUUGAAAUGUCUCCUGUUUGGCAUGAAUUAAUAGUGUCCUCGACAAUUGCCGCAGCACUUGUGUUCUCCUUGAUUGGAGGAUGGUUCUCCGAUCGAUUUGGAAGGAAGAAGGCAAUUCUUAUAUCUGGGGUGAUAUUUACUGGUGGAUCAAUAAUUAUGGGAGUUGCUCAAAACAAAGAAAUUCUUCUUGUUGGUCGUAUUAUUAUUGGCGUUGCUGUGGGUUUCGAGAGCAUGAGCGUGCCCGUGUACAUAGCUGAGUGUGCAGAUUCAGCUAGCCGUGGCAUGCUUGUUACUGCAUAUCAGUUGUUUAUUACGCUUGGCUUGCUUGCUGCAAGUAUAAUUGCUGGUCUGUAUUCAACGUCUUAUGAAGGCUGGAGGUACAUGCUUGGAUUAGCUGCUGUCCCAGCAGCAAUUCAGUUUCUUGGCUUUUGCCUCAUGCCAGAAAGUCCUCGUUGGCUUGCAGCUCAAAAAAGGUAUAAUGAGGCAAAUAAAGUUCUCAAAGCCAUUAGAGGAUCGGCAGCAGUGGCAGAUCAAGAGCUUGCUUCAAUUAAAGCAACAAUUGAAGAUAAAGAGCGAGAGAUGGAGGAGCAGAUUGCCCUCAAUGGUGGAAGUCCUUUGUAUGUCCAAGUCUUCAGGUCACCUGGCGUGCGCAGAGCUCUAUGCAUUGGUUUUUGUAUGCAGAUUUUCCAGCAACUGUCUGGAAUCAAUACUGUGAUGUAUUACAGUGCGUCAAUUAUUAGGAUGUCAGGUAUUAGGGAAGAAUCAAUGGCAAUUUGGAUAUCUGCUGGAGUUUCUGCUGUGAAUUUCAUCUGUACCUUCAUUGGGUUGUUCUUUGUUGACCGUGCUGGACGUCGUAAGCUGGUUCUCAUCUCUUAUGCUGGUGUAAUUUGCUCAUUGGUUUUACUCGGAGUUGGAUUCUCUCUCAUGAAUUCCGAUUCUCCUUUAGUGACACAAGUUAACACAAAUGAUAGAUGUGGCAAAUCUUAUUCAUGUCAAGAAUGCAUCAGUGUUCCAGACGGUUGUGGAUUCUGCUUUGUGAAAGCUGGAAAUGGAUCUAUUCUAGAUGGUUCAUGCUGGAAAUUAGAUGCGGACUCUGGAAAACCUACGGACGGGCAGUGCUCAGAAAAAAGUGAUUUAUUGACCAAAUAUCCUGCUAAUAUUGACUUUGCUAAUGGCUGGUGCCCAACGAAAUACUUCUGGCUGCCAAUUUUGGCAAUGACUUUGUAUCUUGUUUCUUUUGCUCCGGGUAUGGGUCCUAUGCCGUGGACCAUCAAUUCUGAAAUAUAUCCUCUAUGGGCCCGUGGUUUCUGCACUAGUAUAACAACAAGUGCAAGUUGGCUAGGGAAUUUGAUUAUAUCUGCUUCUUUUCUCUCUCUCAUUGAAGCACUUGGAAAUGCAGGAGCAUUCUUUUUAUAUGUGGGCAUUGCUCUCAUAGGAUUUUCCAUCAUCUUUGCAUUCCUUCCCGAAACCAGGGGUCGAACCCUUGAGGAAAUGGAGAGCCUGUUCUUGGGACCGUUGUUCGUUUGCUGCCGUGGACGUAAAAGUGGCAGUACUCUAGGCUCCAACAACGUGCAGUAUGUACACAUUCGAGGGCUAAAUCGAGCUUCUCCAAGGUCAUCAACUCGUCCUGGGGAACUGGGCACUGUCGCAGAUGCUUACAACAGUGACGAUAGCGACAAUUAAUUAACAGGGGGUCUGGGGAAAUGUAUAGAAUUCUCAUUGAUGUAUGUUGGGUGGCUUUCUGCUUACAAAAGGUGACGGAGCAACUUCUGAAUAGCUCUUUUUUUUAUUGCCAUGCCAUGACAUAUUUCUUGUGUUUACCAACAGAUCUCAUAAUUUCUUUGUUAGAAUCAAGUGCUUUUUAAAUCUGUCGCAGAUGCUCACAGCAAUGACGAUAGCAACAAUUAAUUUACAUGGAGGUCCUGGGAUACGUGUAGAAUUCCCCCUGGUGUAUGUUGGGUGGCUUUCUGCUUACAAAAGAUGAAGGGGUAAAUUUUGAAUUGCCCUCUUUUUUGCUGCCAUGACAUAACUCUUGUGUUUACCGACAGAUCUCAUUCUUUUUAUGUCAUAAUCAAAUGCUGCUCAUAUAUACAAAACUUAAAAUUUUCAAUCAUGAACAAGUGAUUGGUAAUAAUUUUGAAAAUUUAUCAGAUUUGGAUUUAAAAAAAAAGAAAACACUUUAGAUUAAUGCACUUUUGUGAAUUGAAUUGAAUUUUUAUAAAGAAGUUCAAAAUCUCAAAGUAGGAGUACAUCAUGUUUUGCUUUGACUGACAUUGGAAACAUUAUUAUUUCCCUUUUCUAUUAUUUUCAACUCUUUUUUUUUAACACUUAUCUUUUAUCUUAGCUGGUGCUAAAAUGUAUGAAACUUAAUCUAUGCUUUUAAUAUGUCUCAGUAAGAGCAGAUAAUUAUAAUACUAUGUUAACAUGUUCAGGAGCAAAGUUUGAGUGACCCUGUGCUUUGAAUAGAAAUGUAUAACAUGCAUUGUUCUACUGAACAUAGUAUUGUAGCUUUGUAGUCAAAGUUACCAAAACGUUAUCUAGAUCCUGCCAAGAGCACCUCUUUUUUCUGUUCUUGCAUCCUACUUUUACAAAUCGUUGCAUUUAUCAUGUGCCAGAGUGCUACAUUACAUUUCAAAAUAUUUAACACGAACGAACCAAGUUUUUUCUUGUGACUGACUGACUGUGUGUCCCUCCAUUUCCUUGCUGUGUCGUGUGCAAGUUAUUAUUUUCAUUAAGUGUUUUGCCAAUGAAAUAUCCAGUGUUUAAAAACUAUAUUUUGUUAUCUGGAAGUCUUUGUAAAUACUUUUAAUUGUUUAUGGUAUUCCCACAGGUAUGGACCAAUGUUAGAUUUUAACUUGAUUCACUUCUAUCAAAUGUUAGUGUUCUGAAAGUAUUAGUAUUUAACCCUUUGUUAUCUGUUGCUUAUUUAGUUACAUCGUGCUGUGUUCUAGUCUUUUGACUACCUUGCAAUUGUUUUAGUCUCUAUAUUCUAUAUGCAACGGUUUAGUCAAAACAAAUAGGAAGAAAGCACUAAUUGUUUAGUAAUUAACUGUGCUUCACAUUUUUCAUAUGCAAGAUACCAGAGAAAUUGUUUCAGAAAACAUCUUAGGAAUGGUUCUUGCAGUGCUAAUUUCUGUGUGCUUUGUGCCUGUGUUAAUUCCUCACUUUUUAGAUGCUUUCAGUGUUAAUGUCAUCAAUACAUUUCCUGCAUUUAUGUCUUCUGCCUUUCUUUGUGUUCAUUUUGACCUUAACCAAACCUGGAACUGUAUUUUGCCUGGAAAGAAAAAGAAGCCACAAAUGUCGAAGCAUAUGUCCUUUCAGCAUCUACGCAUAUGUAAUUGUAGAAGACUUUUGCAAAAUACUCUGUUGCGCUGGAUUGAACAACAUGCUGUAAAGUAUACAUAACUUGUACAUAAAACCUUAUCUGUGAUUAUAUUUGUUACUUAGAAAUAGAACUUUCUCUCACCAUAUAGUAAACUCAAUAUAAUUCAUGUUUAUAAAUAUGUUUAGAUUCACAUCACUGCAUGCAAUCUCUACACUAGAAUUGAUCAUUAUUGUUGUAUUCCCAUUAUGAAAAUAAACAUAGAAUGUUUAAUA
This is an RNA transcript of Frankliniella occidentalis (western flower thrips), 4336 nucleotides long. It is a transcript of the gene named proton myo-inositol cotransporter, with no coding region annotated. Lineage: Eukaryota; Metazoa; Arthropoda; Insecta; Thysanoptera; Thripidae. The transcript is spliced from 13 exons. The record is from RefSeq and is a predicted model, not a curated record.